This 339-nucleotide unclassified non-coding RNA is filed under the name soil metagenome. RNAcentral describes it as "partial contains 5.8S ribosomal RNA, internal transcribed spacer 2, and large subunit ribosomal RNA". The stretch from base 1 to 120 matches the Rfam family "5.8S ribosomal RNA", at positions 35 to 154 of the family's 154-position model. The record is from RNAcentral.
GAUGAAGAACGCAGUGAAAUGCGAUAAGUAAUGUGAAUUGCAGAAUUCAGUGAAUCAUCGAAUCUUUGAACGCAACUUGCGCCCUCUGGUAUUCCGGAGGGCAUGCCUGUUUGAGUGUCAUGUAGACUCAAUCCCUCGGGUUUCUGAGGAGGUUGGAUUUGGGUGCUUGCCUUCUGGCUCGCCUUAAAGGACUUAGCAGGAUAGCACUGUAGUCGACGUAAUAAGUCUCGUCGGUGAAAGUGUGAUGUCUGCUUACAGAUUGCCCUUGGGCACUUUUGACUCUGACCUCAAAUCAGGUAGGACUACCCGCUGAACUUAAGCAUAUCAAUAAGCGGAGGA